AGCAGCCGCGGUAAUUCCAGCUCCAAUAGCGUAUAUUAAAGUUGCUGCAGUUAAAAAGCUCGUAGUUGAAUUUCGGGACUAAUAUGUCGGUCGUGCCUCGGUACGUACUGGCUUAUUGGUUUCUCCUUUCUGAAGAACCAUGAUGUCAUUUAUUUGGUGUCGUGGGGAAUCAGGACUGUUACUUUGAAAAAAUUAGAGUGUUUAAAGCAGGCUCACGCUUGAAUACAUUAGCAUGGAAUAAUGAAAUAGGACGUUUGAUUCUAUUUUGUUGGUUUCUAGGAUCGACGUAAUGAUUAAUAGGGAUAGUUGGGGGCAUUAGUAUUCAAUUGUCAGAGGUGAAAUUCUUGGAUUUAUUGAAGACUAACUACUGCGAAAGCAUUUGCCAAGGAUGUUUUCAUUAAUCAAGAACGAAAGUUAGGGGAUCGAAGACGAUCAGAUACCGUCGUAGUCUUAACCAUAAACUAUGCCGACUAGGGAUCGGAUGAUGUUAAUUUUUAAUGACUCAUUCGGCUACCG
RNAcentral lists this ribosomal RNA (516 nucleotides) under uncultured Glomus. RNAcentral describes it as "SSU rRNA". It matches the Rfam family "Eukaryotic small subunit ribosomal RNA", at positions 569 to 1089 of the family's 1831-position model. Lineage: Eukaryota; Fungi; Glomeromycota; Glomeromycetes; Glomerales; Glomeraceae. The record is from RNAcentral.